AAUAGAUACCCAGGUAGUCCACGCCGUAAACGAUGUCGACUUGGAGGUUGUGCCCUUGAGGCGUGGCUUCCGGAGCUAACGCGUUAAGUCGACCGCCUGGGGAGUACGGCCGCAAGGUUAAAACUCAAAUGAAUUGACGGGGGCCCGCACAAGCGGUGGAGCAUGUGGUUUAAUUCGAUGCAACGCGAAGAACCUUACCUACUCUUGACAUCCAGAGAACUUGGCAGAGAUGCCUUGGUGCCUUCGGGAACUCUGAGAUAGGUGCUGCAUGGCUGUCGUCAGCUCGUGUUGUGAAAUGUUGGGUUAAGUCCCGCAACGAGCGCAACCCUUAUCCUUUGUUGCCAGCGGUUAGGCCGGGAACUCAAAGGAGACUGCCAGUGAUAAACUGGAGGAAGUGGGGAUGACGUCAAGUCAUCAUGGCCCUUACGAGUAGGGCUACACACGUGCUACAAUGGCGCAUACAAAGAGAAGCGACCUCGCGAGAGCAAGCGGACCUCAUAAAGUGCGUCGUAGUCCGGAUUGG
RNAcentral lists this ribosomal RNA (523 nucleotides) under uncultured bacterium. RNAcentral describes it as "bacterial SSU rRNA". It matches the Rfam family "Bacterial small subunit ribosomal RNA", at positions 777 to 1301 of the family's 1533-position model. The record is from RNAcentral.